RNAcentral lists this ribosomal RNA (449 nucleotides) under uncultured prokaryote. Its description in RNAcentral is "bacterial SSU rRNA". It matches the Rfam family "Bacterial small subunit ribosomal RNA", at positions 355 to 796 of the family's 1533-position model. The record is from RNAcentral.
UGGGGAAUAUUGCACAAUGGGCGCAAGCCUGAUGCAGCCAUGCCGCGUGUAUGAAGAAGGCCUUCGGGUUGUAAAGUACUUUCAGCAGUGAGGAAGGGGUGUACGUUAAUAGCGUGCAUCUUUGACGUUAGCUGCAGAAGAAGCACCGGCUAACUCCGUGCCAGCAGCCGCGGUAAUACGGAGGGUGCGAGCGUUAAUCGGAAUUACUGGGCGUAAAGCGCAUGCAGGUGGUUUGUUAAGUCAGAUGUGAAAGCCCGGGGCUCAACCUCGGAAUUGCAUUUGAAACUGGCAGACUAGAGUACUGUAGAGGGGGGUAGAAUUUCAGGUGUAGCGGUGAAAUGCGUAGAGAUCUGAAGGAAUACCGGUGGCGAAGGCGGCCCCCUGGACAGAUACUGACACUCAGAUGCGAAAGCGUGGGGAGCAAACAGGAUUAGAUACCCCCGUAGUCC